Molecule: ribosomal RNA, 321 nt
Filed under: Cobania picea
Lineage: Eukaryota; Metazoa; Arthropoda; Arachnida; Opiliones; Gonyleptidae
Description: partial 12S ribosomal RNA
Source: RNAcentral
CCCUAUUAUUUUAAAAGUGGAUAUAAUUAAUAUAUUAAUGAAAAUUAAAAAUUUUGGCGGUUAAUUAUUAAUUAGAGGAGCUUGUUUGAAAUAAGAAUUUACUCUUUAUAUUUAAUUAAAAUGUAGUUUAUUCAUCUCCGUUAUUAGAUAAAAAGAUUAUAUUUAAAUAUUUUUAUUAUUUCAGGUCAAGAUGUAGCAUUUAUUGGGAAAAAUUAGCUACAUUUUAUUAUAAAUGGAUAAGGAUAAUGAAAAAUUUUUGAGAAAUUGAAUUUAGUUGUAAUGAUAGUUAAUAUGCUAUUAUGAAUUUAUGUAAUUAAUGUA